Molecule: ribosomal RNA, 491 nt
Filed under: uncultured bacterium
Lineage: Bacteria
Description: partial 16S ribosomal RNA
Rfam family: Bacterial small subunit ribosomal RNA
Source: RNAcentral
AGUGAACGCUGGCGGUAGGCCUAACACAUGCAAGUCGAACGGCAGCACAGUAAGAGCUUGCUCUUACGGGUGGCGAGUGGCGGACGGGUGAGGAAUACAUCGGAAUCUACUUUUUCGUGGGGGAUAACGUAGGGAAACUUACGCUAAUACCGCAUACGACCUACGGGUGAAAGCAGGGGAUCUUCGGACCUUGCGCGAUUGAAUGAGCCGAUGUCGGAUUAGCUAGUUGGCGGGGUAAAGGCCCACCAAGGCGACGAUCCGUAGCUGGUCUGAGAGGAUGAUCGGCCCCCCUGAACCUGAGCCCGGGUCCAGCCUCCUCCGGAGGCAGCAGUGGGGAAUAUUGGACAAUGGGCGCAAGCCUGAUCCAGCCAUACCGCGUGGGUGAAGAAGGCCUUCGGGUUGUAAAGCCCUUUUGUUGGGAAAGAAAAGCAGCAGGUUAAUACCCCGCUGUUCUGACGGUACCCAAAGAAUAAGCACCGGCUAACUUCGUG